CCCUUAGAUGUCCUGGGCCGCACGCGCGCUACACUGACACACGCAACGAGUUUUGCUUGUCCGAAAGGUCUGGCUAAUCUUUUAAAUGUGUGUCGUGAUAGGGAUAGAUUAUUGCAAUUAUUAAUCUUGAACGAGGAAUUCCUAGUAAACGCAAGUCAUCAGCUUGCAUUGAUUACGUCCCUGCCCUUUGUACACACCGCCCGUCGCACCUACCGAUUGAAUGACUCGGUGAAAUCCCCGGACUGCAGUCUUGACACCCUCGGGUGACUCGGCAGUGGAAAGCGGAUUAAACCUCGCCAUUUAGAGGAAGGUGAAGUCGUAACA
RNAcentral lists this ribosomal RNA (324 nucleotides) under uncultured eukaryote. RNAcentral's name for it is "partial 18S ribosomal RNA". It matches the Rfam family "Eukaryotic small subunit ribosomal RNA", at positions 1470 to 1796 of the family's 1831-position model. The record is from RNAcentral.